This 789-nucleotide ribosomal RNA is filed under the name uncultured Inocybe. RNAcentral's name for it is "eukaryotic LSU rRNA". The stretch from base 254 to 407 matches the Rfam family "5.8S ribosomal RNA". The record is from RNAcentral. Lineage: Eukaryota; Fungi; Basidiomycota; Agaricomycetes; Agaricales; Cortinariaceae.
CAUUAUUGAAUAAACUUGAACGAGCUGUUUUUUUUUGCUGGCUUCUUUGGAGGCAUGUGCACGCUUGUCAUCUUUAUUUUUCCAAUUGUGCAUUUAUUGUAGAUCUUGAAAGUUUGAAUUAUUUUCUAUAGAUUGAGGACUGCUGUGCUUUGCAAAAGGUCAGCUUUACCUUGUGUUUCUGGAUCUACAUUUAUUACAAACCUCUUAAUUGUUUAGAAUGGUUUAAUGGGUUGAUAAUAAUAAUAAUUUAUACAACUUUCAGCAACGGAUCUCUUGGCUCUUGCAUCGAUGAAGAACGCAGCGAAAUGCGAUAAGUAAUGUGAAUUGCAGAAUUCAGUGAAUCAUCGAAUCUUUGAACGCAUCUUGCGCUCCUUGGUAUUCUGAGGAGCAUGCCUGUUUGAGUGUCAUUAAGUUCUCAACCAUAUUGAAUGAAUGAAUUCUUUUAGUGUGGAUUGGUUAUUGGGAGUUUGCAGGUCUUUUUUUUAUAUAAGGUCUGCUCUUCUAAAAUGCAUUAGUGGUAUCUGAGCAGAAGCUACUACAGAUGUGAUAAUUAUUUACAUCUUGGUCAUGCUGCAUGAGCAGAUUACACUGCUUUGAACAUAUGAAAGUGAACAUAUUUUAUGAUAUAUUUGACCUCAAAUCAGAUAGGACUACCCGCUGAACUUAAGCAUAUCAAUAAGCGGAGGAAAAGAAACUAACAAGGAUUCCCUUAGUAACUGCGAGUGAAGUGGGAAAAGCUCAAAUUUAAAAUCUGGCAGUCUUGACUGUCCGAGUUGUAAUCUAGAGAAG